CUUCAAGAAAUACAGGAUCAACUUACAGCUACUAUAAGAUGUACUAAGGAGAUGGAAGGCUUGAAGUAGAAAAUGCCAUGAUGAUAAAAACUAUUAUAAAACAGGAUGACCAAAUUGAGCGGCUUGAGAAAAUCCUGCAGCGUUCAAGUUUGAUGCCACAGGUGUUCAAGAGCUAGAUGAAGCCAAACUAGACUACAUGGAGCUCCACAGUGAUCGUCUUCACCUCCAGCUCUUUGCAUUUACUUCUUCCCUCUAUCCUACAUGUGUUUUCCUUCCCUUUCAGAUAUCAACCUAUGAAUUGCCUCUACCAAAAAGCCUACAAUAUUGACACAAACCUAGGCUAGUAUCCCUUCUAUGUCUUCCAAUAAGUGCUGUCUUAUGCCUGUCAUUGUAUGUAUGACUCUGUAUGGGAAUUGCCUGUUUGUUUUUUCAGAUUAUAGCAUACAGUUGUUGAGGGGUGGACCAUAUCAUCUUUUUCUUGUAAUUCCAGUGCUUGUCCUAGUACCUUAGCACAUGGUUGCUGAAUACAUGAAUGAAGAGUGAGAAACCAGAAGCUCUGAUAUUUAACUGCUGUGAUAAUGAAUUCAGUGUGCAACUAUGGGCAAAUUAUAUUUAAUAGUAAUUGCAUAUUGUACAUAUUUUUCAUUCUUAUUAACACUGAUAAACUUUUCAACUUAUACUGACUUUAAUAAAAUUGUAUUACUAGGCUAUUAACAUGAUAUUUUGUUUCCCAUUAAAUG
Molecule: long non-coding RNA, 740 nt
Filed under: Pan troglodytes (chimpanzee)
Lineage: Eukaryota; Metazoa; Chordata; Mammalia; Primates; Hominidae
Description: long non-coding RNA NONPTRT010197
Source: RNAcentral